UGCCAAAUCGCAGGAGAGUGAGUUUAAUCUCUGCCGAAGGCGCAAACUCCCAUAAACGCUCAGGCUCAUGGACUGCGAACAACGA
This 85-nucleotide non-coding RNA is filed under the name Wohlfahrtiimonas chitiniclastica. RNAcentral's name for it is "Glycine sequence". It matches the Rfam family "Glycine riboswitch aptamer". From Rfam's summary of the family: This family represents the bacterial glycine riboswitch. Lineage: Bacteria; Pseudomonadati; Pseudomonadota; Gammaproteobacteria; Cardiobacteriales; Ignatzschineriaceae. RNAcentral also lists the same sequence under 1 other name. The record is from RNAcentral.